RNAcentral lists this ribosomal RNA (686 nucleotides) under uncultured bacterium. RNAcentral describes it as "bacterial SSU rRNA". It matches the Rfam family "Bacterial small subunit ribosomal RNA", at positions 75 to 734 of the family's 1533-position model. The record is from RNAcentral.
GAAGCUUGCUUCCUAUGAAAUCGAGUGGCAAACGGGUGAGUAACGCGUAAACAACCUGCCCUUCGGAUGGGGAUAACAGCCGGAAACGGCUGCUAAUACCGAAUACGAUCUUUUCGUCGCAUGACGGAAAGAAGAAAGGAUGGCCUCUAUACAAAGCUAUCGCCGAAGGAGGGGUUUGCGUCUGAUUAGCUGGUUGGAGGGGUAACGGCCCAACAAGGCGAUGAUCAGUAGCCGGUCUGAGAGGAUGAACGGCCACAUUGGGACUGAGACACGGCCCAGACUCCUACGGGAGGCAGCAGUGGGGAAUCUUCCGCAAUGGACGAAAGUCUGACGGAGCAACGCCGCGUGAGUGAAGAAAGUCUUCGGAUUGUAAAGCUCUGUUAUACGGGACGAAAAAGACGGAUGCCAACAGUAUCCGUCCGUGACGGUACCGUAAGAGAAAGCCACGGCUAACUACGUGCCAGCAGCCGCGGUAAUACGUAGGUGGCAAGCGUUGUCCGGAAUUAUUGGGCGUAAAGGGCGCGCAGGCGGUUCGGUAAGUCUGUCUUAAAAGUGCGGGGCUUAACCCCGUGAGGGGACGGAAACUGUCGAACUUGAGUGUCGGAGAGGAAAGCGGAAUUCCUAGUGUAGCGGUGAAAUGCGUAGAUAUUAGGAGGAACACCGGUGGCGAAAGCGGCUUUCUGGAC